AAUCAACGCUGGCGGCGUGCCUCAGACAUGCAAGUCGAACGAUUAAACUUUCCUUCGGGAAAGAUAUAAAGUGGCGCACGGGUGAGUAACACGUAAGUAAUCUACCUUCGGAUGGGGAAUAACAGUCGGAAACGACUGCUAAUACCGCACAAUGCAGCGGCACCUAAUGGUGACAGUUGUUAAAGUAUUUAUACGUCUGGAGAGGAGCUUGCGGCAGAUUAGCUAGUUGGUAAGGAAUGGCUUACCAAGGCUACGAUCUGUAGCCGACCUGAGAGGGUGGUCGGUCACACUGACACUGAAUAACGGGUCAGACUCCUACGGGAGGCAGCAGUCGGGAAUUUUGGGCAAUGGGCGAAAGCCUGACCCAGCAACGCCGCGUGAAGGAUGAAGUCUUUCGGGAUGUAAACUU
Molecule: ribosomal RNA, 409 nt
Filed under: uncultured bacterium
Lineage: Bacteria
Description: bacterial SSU rRNA
Rfam family: Bacterial small subunit ribosomal RNA
Source: RNAcentral